RNAcentral lists this ribosomal RNA (253 nucleotides) under uncultured bacterium. RNAcentral's name for it is "partial 16S ribosomal RNA". It matches the Rfam family "Bacterial small subunit ribosomal RNA", at positions 524 to 776 of the family's 1533-position model. The record is from RNAcentral.
UACGAACUGUGCAAACGUUAUUCGGAAUCACUGGGCUUAAAGGGUGCGUAGGCGGCCAUUUAAGUAGGGUGUGAAAGCCCCCGGCUCAACCGGGGAAUUGCGUCCUAAACUGGGUGGCUCGAGUGAGAUAGAGGUGUGCGGAACUUCCGGUGGAGCGGUGAAAUGUGUUGAUAUCGGAAGGAACGCCGGUGGCGAAAGCGGCACACUGGAUCUUAACUGACGCUGAGGCACGAAAGCCAGGGGAGCGAACGGG